Molecule: transfer RNA, 64 nt
Filed under: Siphoninus phillyreae (ash whitefly)
Lineage: Eukaryota; Metazoa; Arthropoda; Insecta; Hemiptera; Aleyrodidae
Description: tRNA-Gly
Source: RNAcentral
GUUCUAUUAGUAUAAAAAUUAUGUUUAACUUCCAAUUAAAAGAUUCCAUCAAAAGAAUAAAAUA